UAUUAUGUAGUGAAGCUCGCACGUCUCUGAACAGUGUAGCAUUUUGGCCACAAGAGCGCGCGCCUGAGCCACAUUAGAGGCGGUGAAGAUGCCAACAAUCUCAUCUCGAGUCCGGAAUAUUUUGGGCAAAAGAAAGCAUUUCAUUCCAAACACAAUCAAGACACACCGGAGGGAGUCUGCGGCUUAGUUUCACAAACAUCUUUCUGUCUUGCACGAUGAUCCCCGGUAAUCCAGAUGUUGGACAUACAGUGGCUUUUUAUUUAAUUUUUCUCUCGUUCCAAAUCGAGACUCAUCAGACCAGGCAACAUUCUUCCAGUCUUCAACUGUCC
Esox lucius (northern pike) is the source of this 329-nucleotide long non-coding RNA. NCBI's taxonomy places the organism in Eukaryota, Metazoa, Chordata, Actinopteri, Esociformes, Esocidae. The record is from Ensembl.